GAGAACUUAGUUAAUCUAUAACACUACUUUGUCAAAGUAGAGUGAUGGGCUAAACCCCCAUAUUUCUCU
This 69-nucleotide transfer RNA is filed under the name Anomaloglossus sp. 'Bakhuis'. Its description in RNAcentral is "tRNA-Asp". The record is from RNAcentral. Lineage: Eukaryota; Metazoa; Chordata; Amphibia; Anura; Aromobatidae.